RNAcentral lists this small nuclear RNA (19 nucleotides) under Arabidopsis thaliana (thale cress). Its description in RNAcentral is "snRNA_12937". Lineage: Eukaryota; Viridiplantae; Streptophyta; Magnoliopsida; Brassicales; Brassicaceae. The record is from RNAcentral.
UUUAUAUGGAGAGUGUAGG